This 253-nucleotide ribosomal RNA is filed under the name uncultured bacterium. RNAcentral's name for it is "partial 16S ribosomal RNA". It matches the Rfam family "Bacterial small subunit ribosomal RNA", at positions 524 to 776 of the family's 1533-position model. The record is from RNAcentral.
UACGGGGGGAGCAAGCGUUGUUCGGAUUUACUGGGCGUAAAGGGCGCGUAGGCGGCGUGACAAGUCACUUGUGAAAUCUCCGGGCUUAACUCGGAACGGUCAAGUGAUACUGUCGUGCUAGAGUACAGAAGGGGCAACUGGAAUUCCCGGUGUAGUGGUGGAAUGCGUAGAUAUCGGGAGGAACACCAGUGGCGAAGGCAGCUUCGUGGUCCAUACCUGACGCUUAUGCACGAAAGCGUGGGGAGCAAACAGG